UACGUAGGGAGCGAGCGUUGUCCGGAAUUACUGGGUGUAAAGGGAGUGUAGGCGGGAAAACAAGUCAGAUGUGAAAACUAUGGGCUCAACCUGUAGACUGCAUUUGAAACUGUUUUUCUUGAGUGAAGUAGAGGUAAGCGGAAUUCCUAGUGUAGCGGUGAAAUGCGUAGAUAUUAGGAGGAACAUCAGUGGCGAAGGCGGCUUACUGGGCUUUUACUGACGCUGAGGCUCGAAAGCGUGGGGAGCAAACAGG
RNAcentral lists this ribosomal RNA (253 nucleotides) under uncultured bacterium. Its description in RNAcentral is "partial 16S ribosomal RNA". It matches the Rfam family "Bacterial small subunit ribosomal RNA", at positions 524 to 776 of the family's 1533-position model. The record is from RNAcentral.